GCGUGCGUCUAUAACUUUGUGUUGCUUGCUGCUGCUGGUGGUUAGGAGAAGGAAUGUGGAAGUCAGUAGAGUGCAGGGUGACAGGCUGGUCGGGCGAGCUGCACCAGCAGCAUUAUUUCUCCCUGGCAGAUCAUUUGCUUUUCCCCUUCUGUUUACAGAGGUAUCGUGCGGUUGUUUGCCUUCUCCUCCUUUGCCUUUAAAGGGAAGGCGACUAGAAGCCGAAGACGCAGCAGCAGGAGAAUCAGGAAACCAUGCACCAGCACUGCUUUUUCCUCCUGUGAAUCUGGAUCUUUAUUUUUGCUGGAGAGGGUAGAGGUUGCUGCUGGUUCUUCCCCUUCCCUCCUUCCCCUGCCGAUGUGUCUUGCUCUGUCUCUUUUGCCAGUGUUUUUUAAAUGACUUGAGCGGAGGGGGGAAAAACUGUCAAGAUGGCAGCAGCAGGAGCAAGGAGGUUAUGAAUGUGGUGUUGAUGCUGGAACAAAACCCAUCCUCUUGGCAGCCCGACGGAGGGCUUAAAGCUUCUGGACCUGUUGGAAGACUGGUGAUUUGAUUUGUUUUUGUUUUGCUUUCCUCGCAAGAAGGGUAAAAAAUCCAGAGUGGCUUUUUCUUCCCCUGUUCGGUUGGUUGUGAAAUUUAGUUUUGUAUAUAUAUCUAUAGAUCUGUAUAUUUUUUGGAAAGUGGAAUGCAUAAGUACGGCAAAUGCUAGUGUGCAACUGGAGGUACAUUAAGACUUCAGCUCCCUCUGGGGCGUUUUGAAGGAGGAAAAAGUCAUCAGUGUAAUUUGAAGGACCCCUCUCUCUUUCCCCCGGCCAGAGAGAGAAAAAGGGAAACGUCUGCCAGAGCAGCCGGGAGCAGGCUUGGUGGUGUUGGAGGGGUCUCUCUCCGAUGGAUACAGCGUGAUUGCCAGUGGAGCGCUUCUGCAGCUGCAUGGAGUGAAACAUAAACAAACACACACCACUGAGCUGCACCAACUCCACUGCGUUUGGGCUGCUGCUGGCGCCAUCCCCCCACCCAUCGGGAUCCAGGGGCGCAUCUGGAACCUCUGGCCUUGCCUGAUCCCUUAUUGAUCGCCUUGUGAUUAUUAGUAGUAUUGUGUGUGUGUGUGUGUGUGUGUGUGUGCACUGUCUGCUGGGAGAGGGGGCGGGGGAAGGCAGGAGGCUGCAGGACUUUAAUGGAGAGUGGCAUGUUCACUCGCUCCCCCCUGCCUGGUAGGCACUGAUCCGCAGCGGCAGGAGGAGGACUGGGGUCCGGACCUGUCUAUCCCAUCGCAGCACCAGGAGCAGCAGCAGCGGGAGGAGGGGAAGCCAAGAUGGCAGAGGCGUCUCCCGCUGCCCCCCUCUCCCCCCUGGACGUGGAGCUGGACCCCGAGUUCGAGCCCCAGAGCCGGCCCCGCUCCUGCACUUGGCCCCUACAGAGGCCUGAGUUGCAGGCGAGCCCGGCCAAGCCCUCGGGGGAAGCGGCCGCGGACGCCGCCUCCAUGAUCCCCGAGGAGGAGGACGACGAGGAGGAAGGGGGCAGCUCGCCCAUGGCCAUCGGCAGUGGCGGCGGAGGGGAAGCGCUGGCCCCGGAGGAGGCGGCGCGGCUGCUGGCCCCGCUGUCCGGGGUCGGGACGGAGGGCUCGGGCCAGGCCCCCGGGGCAGCGGCCGCCGGGGGCAGUGGGCUGGGCGGCGGGCAGCCGGCGGCGGCGGCGGCGCCGCGGAAAUGCUCGUCCCGGCGCAACGCGUGGGGCAACCUGUCCUACGCCGACCUGAUCACCCGCGCCAUCGAGAGCGCCCCGGACAAGCGGCUCACCCUGUCCCAGAUCUACGACUGGAUGGUGCGCUGCGUGCCCUACUUCAAGGAUAAGGGCGACAGCAACAGCUCGGCCGGCUGGAAGAACUCAAUCCGGCAUAAUUUGUCACUUCACAGUCGAUUCAUCAGGGUACAGAAUGAAGGAACUGGGAAAAGCUCUUGGUGGAUGAUUAAUCCAGAUGGUGGAAAAGGUGGGAAGCCUCCCCGGAGACGUGCUGUUUCAAUGGACAAUAGCAACAAGUACACAAAGAGCAGAGGCCGAGCAGCUAAGAAAAAGGCAGCCCUGCAAGCUGCACAAGAAGCUAGCGAGGACAGCCCAUCUCAGCUUUCCAAGUGGCCGGGGAGCCCAACUUCCCGCAGCAGUGAUGAGCUGGAUGCUUGGACAGAUUUCCGCUCUCGUACAAAUUCAAAUGCCAGUACAAUAAGUGGCCGUUUGUCACCGAUAUUGGCGAGUACCGAACUCGAUGACGUUCAGGAUGAUGAUGCUCCACUUUCUCCAAUGCUGUACAAUAGUCCAUCAAGCAUGUCCCCAUCGGUAAAUAAACCAUGUACUGUUGAGUUGCCGAGGUUGACUGAUAUGGCAGGCACAAUGAACUUGAAUGAUGGACUGACAGAUAACCUCAUCAUGGAUGAUCUUUUGGACAAUAUAACGCUCCCCUCUCCCCAACAGUCACCAUCAGGGGGGCUCAUGCAAAGAAGCUCCAGUUUUCCGUAUGGUUCCAAAGGUUCCGGACUUGGUUCUCCAUCAAGUAAUUUCAACAGUGCUGUGUUUGGACCAUCAUCUCUGAAUUCUCUUCGUCAGUCUCCCAUGCAAACCAUUCAAGAGAACAAGCAAGCUACCUUUUCUUCCAUUUCUCAUUAUAACAACCAGACGCUGCAGGAUCUGCUGGCAUCUGACUCACUUAGUCACAGUGAUGUCAUGAUGACGCAGUCUGAUCCACUCAUGUCUCAAGCCAGCACAGCUGUGUCUGCCCAGAAUUCACGCAGGAGUAUCAUGCUUCGUAGUGAUCCAAUGAUGUCAUUUGCUGCUCAGUCCAACCAGGGAAGUUUGGUAAAUCAGAACCUGCUCCACCACCAGCAUCAAUCUCAGAAUUCUUCUCUUGGUGGCAGUCGUGCCUUGUCAAAUUCCAUCAGUAACAUGGGCUUAAAUGAUACGAACAACUUGGGGUCGGCCAAACACCAGCAGCAAUCACCUGUCAAUCAGUCUAUGCAAACACUUUCUGACUCGCUCUCAGGCUCUUCUUUGUAUUCCACUAGUGUGAACCUUCCAGUCAUGGGGCAUGAUAAAUUCCCAAGUGAUUUGGACCUGGAUAUUUUCAAUGGAAGCUUGGAAUGUGACAUGGAGUCCAUUAUCCGCAGUGAACUCAUGGAUGCAGAUGGGUUGGAUUUUAACUUCGAUUCCCUCAUCUCAGCUCAGAACGUUGUCAGUCUGAAUGUGGGGAGCUUCACUGGUGCUAAGCAGGCUUCGUCACAGAGUUGGGUGCCAGGCUGAAGGAUCUUUGAGAAAAGGAGAAAUGGGCAAAGCAGGCCAGUUUCAGCAGGAGCACAUUUGCUGUGACUUGCACUUGGGGAACAUCAGUGCGUCACCUUUCUAUUCUGAAGAAGUUUCCAGUGCAGUAUAAUGAACACCAGUGGGAACCAAAGGGGGAAAGCAGUCUGCAUUAGGUAAUGCUUUAGAGUUUCCCUCUUGGCGCCUGAGUUGAGAUCAGGGCUUGGGGGACUUAAUUCGAAUUUAAUAGUGGUGGAAUGAUGUUAUAUAGUGGUAAAUUAAGUGUUAUUGCAUAGAGGGAAAUCCCAUCUCAAACAACUAAGUCACAAAGUAUGCAAAGAGAAGUGGUUCAUAACCUGUGGGGAGCAAGCUGGGGUGAAUAAGACAGGAGGAGGAGGAGGGGGCAGAAUUAAAGGACUGUUGUGUUGUCUGCCACACAGUCACUUGCAAGUUAAAUACAUUGAAAAUACUAAAGCAUUUGAUCGAUUGAUUACCUUGUACCUUCACCUAGUGGAAUUAACAGAGCCAUCAUCUAGGAUUCAAAAUGUUAAUUGCAUAUUAUAGAACAGAACAUAGUUUUGAGCUAUCUGUAGUCAAAAUGAAUUUAUAGUCAGUGAUUUUAAAAAUAUGGACCCUAUUUUCUUAAUAUUGCUUGCAUGCGCGUGCACACAUACACAUUCCCGUUUGUUACAGGUUACACACCACUGUGGAAAAAGUCCAGUGGCCCUCUUCGUUACUGUGGACUUCUGUGUGCAGAGGGCCAAAAUCAGAGCUAUCAUUAGCAAAGCUGCUACAUCUGCUUACACUGGUUCUGAAUUUAGGCAGGCCCUUAAACUGACAUGAGACCUAAAGAGAGAACCCUUUGCCAAAUCUGCUGUCAGCAAGUGGACAGUGAUACCGUUUACAGCUUAUGAUCUUUGUGAGCCCUGCAUUAUUUUCCUAAUGAAGCAGAGACUGUUAAUGGGCCCCUUACCCAAGCGAAGAGCCUCCUUUUUCGGAAUUGAACUCGUUCUAAAGUAUGCAAAAUCUUCCUUUUAUGGGAUGGUCAAGCACCUACUGUGGAGACAAUGUUCAGCACCAUCCUGUUGAGAAUACACUGUGUAGCCUUUACAGUAGUUAUUUGUCAAUGAGUAUGUGGUGUUUCAAUAUAUUAAUGGUUUAUGGGUUAUUUUAAGUUGGCUUCUAUUUUGGGGGGGGUUCUCCAUCUCACCCCUCUAACCUUCAGUUUGUUUUGUUUUUUAAAGAUGUUUUAACCAUUUUCUCUUUCUCUCCUGGUGCAUCUGAAAUACAGUGUAUGCACAAUGAAAGGCUAUACUAAUUACCAUUACCCAACAUAGCUUCAGACAUCAGCACUACCUGUAUGUAGCAUUCAUUACACCAAGCAACUGACUGAAGUCCAGAGAGAGGUGGCUUGUGGGUUUUGUUUGUUUGUUGUCUUUUUUUUUCAAACCUUUUCUUCAAUUUAAUGGUACAUACCUUAUUUUUCAUAAACAGCAAACCAGAGUUGAUUACAUAACGAGAGAAACUAGCAAGGUUGCUAGUCCUGUCCAGUGUUUGUAAGGACUGAGUGAGGGUGCCAUUUCAUCAUUUUUACUGAUUCGGCACCUGAUUUGAUUUGAUCGAUCUCACCUAUUGCAUUAUGUUAGCAGAGCUGCCCUAAUGGUUGCAGUGAAUAGAAUUAGUCUGCCUCAGCAGUUUGGAAACUGGUUGAUCUUAAAACAAGUAAUAAGAUAAGCUGUCCACCCAUUGCCAAACAAGUUGAAUGUAACCACUUGUGAGGAUAUGGUUUAAAAAGGAAAGGGAAGUAAAAUAUAUGACAUUGCAGAAAAGAUAACUUACAGUAUAUGCAUCAACAGUGACUUACAGUAGAGUCAUCAGAAGUUCAAAUGCAGAUCACUGCAGGGUAAGUUAUUACAUCAGUGAUUUUUUUUUUUACAUACAUAUCCUUGAUUAUUUUUUCCUUCUCAAUAUGCGUAAUCCAAUCUGAAAGAAGCUGUAGAGGGAAAGGCAAGAAAGUAAUGCUAAACAAACAGCUUUUCAUAUAAGCUUAGAUUGUAAUUGGAUAAAUGACACUGAAAGACAAGGCAGUUUUAUAUGUUUUGCUUAUAUGGGUUUUGUUUUGUAAAAUGAAUAACAAUGAAUGAAUAAUAAUGAAUAAAAGGUAUGGUGCUGCUGUAUAGAUUUUCUCUAUAGUCUGGAAAGCUUGAUUACUUUUUAUUACUAUUUUUUUGCGGGGGGAGGAAAAAAGAGGAGGAAACACCAAUGGUACAUAAGAACUUGGUAUGAAGACGCUCUGAAUAGGACAGUGUAUACAUACUUCUCCAAAGUGAUAUAUGAAGACUUUUUUCUUUGCAUAAAAGCAUUAUGCAUAUAAAUAUAUAAAUAUAUUUUAUUAUGUACAGAAAUGGAUCAUUAUGCAUGGAUGUUAGGAAAACAAACUAGCAUUUUAACCCAAAGUUUCAGUGCAUGAGUUCCCACUGACACAUGUACCAUGCAAUGUGGAGUGACUCCCUUUCACCGCUACCACCACACAUGCACGCAUACACACACACACACAAACUCACACGCACACAUUUGUGGGCCCCAUCUUGCUCCUUACUUUCCAGUUUCCUGAAGUAAUAUUGGUGAAAUAACAGCUCCUAGUGUGAUGGAAAUUUUGUUUUGUAUUGUAACCUCCUCAUGCUCGUGCUGUUCUAUUUUAUAGAUGAACCUGUUGAUUUCAUCCUGCCCUUUACUGAAUAUGUAAACUCUGUGCAGUUGUGAUUAUAGUAGACCCGUAGCAUAUCAAGCAGCUAAGAGUUUAUCAUUUUCAUUAGGUGAAACAACAUUUUUUUUAAAUUAAGGUGGUCUAUUUAUCAAUGGCAGGGACUAGUUUAUUGUUUUUUCUUUAUCAUCAGAAUUAGUUGAUGAUGCACAUUACUGAUCUCCCCAGCUGAGGUGAUAUUUCGGGUACCCAGCUACCCAGUACGACAAUGGUGUACAGCAGUCAUCUGUUUUAGGGGUCAGUUCACUUACAGGAGUCCAGAUGCAGGCACCUUUUACCAAAGUUAGUAAAGAGCUUUACUGCAAGCCUUCACUGUACUCGGCGUGUAUAACAGUAUCUGUCAGGUUUUUGGUACAUCAUUAAAUGUGAAUUAAACUGAGGGUGUUUUUCUUUCUUUGUCUUCUGUGGUAUUGUGCUUGCUGAUUGACACUUUUCAAUCUUAAAGUCUCACUCUCUGAUUAAUAGGAGGGCUGUGCACAAGUACUCUGGUACAAAGCAGGCUUUGUAUUUAUUUCUGGUGUGACGUUUUGUUGAACUAUCUAUUGUCCACUGGAGGAUGGAAUACAUCGUGGCGCUGUCAUAGAGCAAGCAGCAGAUUCUCCCUUUCACGCGGUCUAAUUUAAGGCAGGUUACAAAUACAUAGGUAGGACAGGAUUCUGGUACUGAAUCUACCUACCGUAUAUAUUCACUGACUGCACCUUUUUUAUUUGGAUUUCUUGGAGAAAUAUUGGACCAACCUGUCUGCUCACAUAACUUAAAUGGCAUAGUGCCAACAGAAAAUUUGGCCCACUUUAUAGAGCAGAAUAACAAAACAUAUUGGGCCAAAUUCUGCUCUCAGUUACGAUGGUGUAAAUCUGGAAUAACUGAUGGUAGUGAGUUACUCCAGAUUUACAGCACUGUCUCUCCCUGAUGCACAACCCAAGCACCCAGUCUCUGCUCUAGGGAUCUUCUUGGGAGCAGGAACAAGGAAUCCUCCUCUCCAGGCCACUCCAUAGCUGGUACUCCAGCAUCAGAGCAGGAAUAGCCUUAGCACUGCCUUGCCUGUGUGCCCCUCCACAGCGGGGAAUGGCCAUCAGAUCCACGUAGCAGCAGAUCCACCAACUGUGCCCCAUCCCCGAAUCCCUUCUGUGCAGUACAUACUGAGAUGAGCUCCACGUCUUCAGAUAUUCAACUCCUGCAGACUCACACUGCAGCAGAACUGCCCCUCUUCUUCCACUGCAGGCAGAACCUGCUUGUACCCAUUUUGGAGGACAGGAUUUAUGCCAGUGACCAGGAUUUGCCCCAUCGUUCACAGUUGCACACAAGGAGAUAAGGCCCAGUGCUGCAGUCUUUACUCAGAUGAAAUCUCCCAUUAAAUGGGCUUGCCUGCAUAAGGAUUGCAGAUUGUGUUGUUAGAGUCCUUUGUUAACACCAACAAAGUUUUUUGUUUUGACGUUAUGACUACGGCAACAAAGACGAGUAAUUUUAUUUUUUCUUGGUACGGAACUAAUAUGUCUAAUGGAAGGGAAGGACUGCUUGUUUGAACAAACUGGGCUAAACUUUGUUACUGCAGUGUUAAUGCAGCGUGACUCCCAUUAUGUCAGAUUUGCAAAAUAUGGUCCACUUUUUUUUAGAAAAUGAAGAAAUACCAGUCGGUUCAGAGACAUCCAAUGAAUGGCAGAGAAGUUAUAGAACCUUUCAAACAAAUCAAAAUCAAAGCACAAGCAAAUAAGGGGCCUCCCACUGAAGUUAUUAUUCAGUGCUCCCACUGAAGUUAAUGACAAAACUCUCAUUGGCUUCCGCAGUGCAGUUUUGGCCUCCUAGUGUUAGGGGGAAAAAACCUGCACUACCUGGGGAGGGAUGGACUAGAAAAACAUAGAGGUUUUUCUCUCUCUAAUUUUGGCGGCCAACAUUUUCAAACUUAAAUAUGUGAAGUUAAGCACCUACGGCUGGAAUUUUCAAGGGGCAUAAGGGAGUUAGGUGCUCUGCUUUCAUUGUUUUUCAGUGGGAGUAGGGUGCCUCAUUCCUUGAGACCCCUUGGAAAAUCCCAGGCCUAAAUGUAUAUUUAGGCACAUAAAAAGGGCCCCAAUUUUCAGAGGUGCAGAAUAGUCACAUCUCUUAGAGCAUCCAACGGCAGCCACGGGGACUGAGCACCUUUGAAAAUCAGAUCACUUAUUUAGGUGCCAAAGUAUGGAUUCAGGAACCCCGUUUUUGAAACUUUGGCCUUUGUUCCAGGAAUAUUUUUGAGCAUUAACACCCCCCCCCACACACACACACACACAAAAAUCAUGCCCAACACAUAAAGUCUCAGAACACAUGCACAGGUUAUUGUUUAAAUGUUGUGUUUUAAAACAUUCUAAAAAGGGUAAUGCUUAUGCAGUUUAGACAAGUCUGCUUUUAUUUAAUUUUCUUUGUGAAAUAUCUUCUCAUAUGAAUAGCUGGUUAAUAGGCCACUACCUAACUCCAGAAAUAUUUGUACUACUGCUUUACAAAGCUAAAUGUUAGGACAUAUAUUGCUCUAAAAUUAUGUCAUUGCUUGGCAAUCAGUCUCCUAUAAUUGUUUUAGUACAUUAUGUACACUGGAAAUGUGAACACAUGUGCAGGAGGACCAGAUGCAUUUUGUUAAUAUCGGAGGGAGGGGGAGAGAAUGAUUGUACGUUUUGGCUUCACAUGUUAAACUUUUUUUAAAAAAAAAAGUUGCAUGACUGGAAAAUAACAUGUAUACAGUAUCUGUAAACCUGUUUUAUCUGUUUUUGUUUCACCAUGUCAAGCCAUAUAAAUUGGAAAAAUAUUAAAUCGACAGCCUUUAUGCAUGGCUGCCUUUACAUACUGAAGAAUUGAAGAAUUAAUUUGGGCUUUCUUGCACUUUCAUGUUGCGUUCUUACUGAGGACUUUAUAAAUUAGUUGCUGCCCUGGAUGAAUAUACUACCUUACUACACAAAGAUUGGAAACACGUUUGAUUUUAAAAUCUUCCCCUUUCCAAAUGAAGUAGAGAUGCAGUGCUUACUCCACUUGGUGUUAGUAGAUAUUGCCUUGUGUAUUCCAUUUUAAAUUGUAAUCUAGUUUGUAAAAGAGAUGGUGCCGCAUGUAAAUAAAGCAUAAUGGAUCUCUA
Chelonia mydas (Green sea turtle) is the source of this 9132-nucleotide RNA transcript. It is a transcript of the gene named forkhead box O3, with no coding region annotated. The record is from RefSeq and is a predicted model, not a curated record. The transcript has 4 exons. Lineage: Eukaryota; Metazoa; Chordata; Testudines; Cheloniidae.